Molecule: ribosomal RNA, 336 nt
Filed under: Triticum aestivum (bread wheat)
Lineage: Eukaryota; Viridiplantae; Streptophyta; Magnoliopsida; Poales; Poaceae
Description: partial small subunit ribosomal RNA
Source: RNAcentral
AUGAACUGUUUCAUUCAGAGAGAUGGCUGUGGAUUUUUUUUUCAGCGGCAUGAUGAUCCCUGCUCCCCAUUUGUUGUACAACUACUAAUGGAUCUUUGGGAUGCAAUCAGGAGGUUUGAAGCUGCAUGUGGUGAUGGCUGGAAGCAAUGGAUAGAACAGAUGCAGAGAAAUGGAACAGAGGAUGCAUUGAGACAAUUAGUUCUGAAGAAAAAUGCAGAAGUUCAAGCAAAUAGGGCAAGAUGUGAUAGUUUAGAAAGAAAACAAAUGUCCAGCAUUGUGUUUUAUGGCAUGAUCAUGUUAGUGGCAGGUUUAUUUGCAAGAUUUGUCCUGCAUUGA